UCCGAGUUGACCCCGGCAGUCUCCCAUGAGUCCCCGGCAUUAUCCGCUGGCAACAUGGAACGAGGGUUGCGCUCGUUGCGGGACUUAACCCAACAUCUCACGACACGAGCUGACGACAGCCAUGCACCACCUAUCGCAGGCCCUUACGGACACCGCGUCUCUACGGCUUUUCCUGCGUAGUUCAACCCAGGUAAGGUUCUUCGCGUUGCAUCGAAUUAAAGAACAUGCUCCGCUGCUUGUGCGGGCCCCCGUCAAUUCUUUUGAGUUUUAGCCUUGCGGCCGUACUCCCCAGGCGGGGCGCUUAAUGCGUUAGCUGCGGCACAGAGAACCGGAGAGGCCCCCCACACCUAGCGCCCAACGUUUACAGCGUGGACUAC
This 377-nucleotide unclassified non-coding RNA is filed under the name uncultured Actinomycetes bacterium. RNAcentral's name for it is "uncultured actinobacterium contains 16S-23S intergenic spacer region". Lineage: Bacteria; Bacillati; Actinomycetota; Actinomycetes. The record is from RNAcentral.